RNAcentral lists this ribosomal RNA (253 nucleotides) under uncultured bacterium. RNAcentral's name for it is "partial 16S ribosomal RNA". It matches the Rfam family "Bacterial small subunit ribosomal RNA", at positions 524 to 776 of the family's 1533-position model. The record is from RNAcentral.
GACAGAGGUGCCGAGCGUUAGGCGGAAUCACUGGGCUUAAAGCGUGUGUAGGCGGACCGUUAAGUACCUUGUGAAAUCCCCCGGCUCAACCGGGGAACGGCUGGGUAUACUGGCGGUCUUGAGCCAUCCAGGGGCAGUCGGAACAGACGGUGGAGCGGUGAAAUGCGUAGAUAUCGUCUGGAACGCCGAAGGUGAAAACAGACUGCUGGGCCGACACUGACACUGAGAGACGAAAGCUAGGGGAGCGAAUGGG